This 614-nucleotide ribosomal RNA is filed under the name Escherichia coli. RNAcentral describes it as "partial 23S ribosomal RNA". It matches the Rfam family "Bacterial large subunit ribosomal RNA", at positions 2329 to 2925 of the family's 2925-position model. The record is from RNAcentral. Lineage: Bacteria; Pseudomonadati; Pseudomonadota; Gammaproteobacteria; Enterobacterales; Enterobacteriaceae.
GGUCGGACAUCAGGAGGUUAGUGCAAUGGCAUAAGCCAGCUUGACUGCGAGCGUGACGGCGCGAGCAGGUGCGAAAGCAGGUCAUAGUGAUCCGGUGGUUCUGAAUGGAAGGGCCAUCGCUCAACGGAUAAAAGGUACUCCGGGGAUAACAGGCUGAUACCGCCCAAGAGUUCAUAUCGACGGCGGUGUUUGGCACCUCGAUGUCGGCUCAUCACAUCCUGGGGCUGAAGUAGGUCCCAAGGGUAUGGCUGUUCGCCAUUUAAAGUGGUACGCGAGCUGGGUUUAGAACGUCGUGAGACAGUUCGGUCCCUAUCUGCCGUGGGCGCUGGAGAAUUGAGGGGGGCUGCUCCUAGUACGAGAGGACCGGAGUGGACGCAUCACUGGUGUUCGGGUUGUCAUGCCAAUGGCACUGCCCGGUAGCUAAAUGCGGAAGAGAUAAGUGCUGAAAGCAUCUAAGCACGAAACUUGCCCCGAGAUGAGUUCUCCCUGACUCCUUGAGAGUCCUGAAGGAACGUUGAAGACGACGACGUUGAUAGGCCGGGUGUGUAAGCGCAGCGAUGCGUUGAGCUAACCGGUACUAAUGAACCGUGAGGCUUAACCUUACAACGCCGAAG